CGUAGGUGGCAAGCGUUGUCCGGAAUUAUUGGGCGUAAAGCGCGCGCAGGCGGUUCCUUAAGUCUGAUGUGAAAGCCCCCGGCUCAACCGGGGAAGUCAUUGGAAACUGGGGAACUUGAGUGCAGAAGAGAAGAGCGGAAUUCCACGUGUAGCGGUGAAAUGCGUAGAGAUGUGGAGGAACACCAGUGGCGAAGGCGGCUCUUUGGUCUGUAACUGACGCUGAGGCGCGAAAGCGUGGGGAGCAAACAGGAUUAGAUACCCUGGUAGUCCACGCCGUAAACGAUGAGUGCUAAGUGUUAGAGGGUUUCCGCCCUUUAGUGCUGCAGCUAACGCAUUAAGCACUCCGCCUGGGGAGUACGGCCGCAAGGCUG
Molecule: ribosomal RNA, 371 nt
Filed under: uncultured organism
Description: bacterial SSU rRNA
Rfam family: Bacterial small subunit ribosomal RNA
Source: RNAcentral